Long non-coding RNA from Pan troglodytes (chimpanzee), 2184 nucleotides. RefSeq lists it as uncharacterized. The transcript is spliced from 3 exons. The record is from RefSeq and is a predicted model, not a curated record. Lineage: Eukaryota; Metazoa; Chordata; Mammalia; Primates; Hominidae.
AAUCCUAACACAACCCUAUGUAGGAACUACUGUUAACCCUGCUUAACAGAGGAGCCGCCUGGGGAAACGCCUGUGUUCCUGGCCAUGGGCUGCAACUCACAGCCUCUCUACGUGGCUGCCUAACUGAGACAAUAAAUCCCUGGAGAUGAAGAAGAAGCAGUGUCUGGUGUACCCACCAAGUAAACUCUGAUCUCAAGCUUUCCUUAGAUGCUCAGAGUUCAACUUCAGUGAAGUUGCUGCUGAACAGAGUCACACAGAGCCAGGGGAGUGAGUGGGGAGAAGCAUGGAAUCAGAAGAAGGUACUGUGCCUUCUCAAAGUCUGUGAAAAGAGACACCUGAGAUCAUUGGGAAACAAAAAAUCUACAAAUCAUGGUAAGACAAUUGGUCAGUACUUUUAGCAAAAGAAAACCCUCCCCUCCUGCCAAAUGACAAAUUAAAUUAUCAGUGGAUGAGACUCAAGUACAUGUGCACAUAAAUGCACAUACACAAGUACACGCACAUGCACACGCACACACCACACGCACACACACACACACACAGGCAAAGAAAUAAAACUGUAUACAUGCCAAAAAAUAGCUGAAUAUUUAUUUAAUCACUGCUGUUGAAGAGCACUGUGAGUUUGUCAUGUAAGAAAUCCCAUGGGAAAUGAUAACAGACCUGACCACAGAAAAAUGGUAAACUUCUGAACAUUAAGAAGGGCACAGACUAAAAUACAAACAUCUACAUAGAAAGAUCUACAGUAAAAAAUAAGAUAUAAUCAUCUAAUAUCUUCUGAAACAUAAAGCUUAUAAAAAUUGAUUCGAAAAACAUGAAGAUUUCAGAAUAGAAAUGGGCAAAGGACACAAGACAACUCACAAUACAGCAAAUAUAAAUAAAUAAAAAACAGAUGGAAAAUGUUCAUCUUGUUACUUAACAAAGGCAAAAUUGAAACAGCAGUAGAGUAAUUUUUCUUACUAUCAAGUUAGCAAAAAUAAUUUCUUUGCCUAAUCAUGUUGAUAAGAGCACAAUGAAACAGGAAAUCUCAUAAACUGCUUGCAGGAGUACAAAACUUUCUGGAAAGCAAUGUGCUGUUUCCCAAGAGGACUCUAAGUGUUUGUAUCCUUCGACCUAGUAAUUCUACUUCCAAGAACUUAUCAUCAGAAAGUAAUUUAAAAAUUCCAAAAUAUGGACAUCAUGCAUAAAAGAUGUUCAUUUCAUCAUUGCUUAUUAAAAAAAAACGGAACACCCUAAAUGCCUACUAUUCAUUUCAAUAUUUUUUGAGCACCUAAUAUGUGUCAAACAAUGAGCUAGAACAGACACCAAACACAAACCAGUUAUGAUUCUUAUCCUUCCAAUACUGGGAGGAACUGCAGGUUGGGAGGAGAUAUACAUUGAAUUAAGUAAUUAUUACACUUGUUACAGGAAUGCAUAGCAGAGGCACCUAACCAGAGGGGGGUGACAUUUAAACUAACUCCUGAAAACUAUGUGAAAGUAACCAGAAGGGGAUGGCAGAUGAAAUAUUCUGAUUAAUACUUCAAGAAGCAGAAACAAUGGGAGUAAAAGAAUCUUGCCGUUUCAAGGAAGUAUCAUAAUGUGUUCCAGAAAAAGGAAACAACAUAUUGCAAGUCCAGGAGGAAAAAAAUUUGACCUAAAUUAAGAGUGUCCUCAUAUUUCAAAAUGGCGAUGAAGAGAGUCCAAGCAUCUGUUGGGAAGAUGAGACCUAGCAGGAAACACAGUGGAGUUGCUUUCCUCCUCUUCUUCUGAUUAAUUUCACAGGUUUUUCACGUUUUUAGUUUAAAUGUCACCUACGCUGGUUAAGUCCCCUCUGCUAUGAACUCCUGUAGCAAAUGUCAUAAUUACUUGAUUAAAUGCUUAUCUCCUCCAAGACUGUAAGUUCUGCAAGGAUAAGAAUUAUAUCUGCCUUGCAGAUGGGUGUGGUGGCUCACACCUGUAAUCCCAGCACUUUGGGAGGCCGAGGAUCACCUGAGGCCAGGAGUUCAAGACCAGCCUGGCCAAUAUGGUGAAAUCCCAUCUCUACCAAAAGUACAAAAAUUUAGUUGGGCAUGGUGGUGCACAUCUGUGGUCCCAGCUACUUGGGAGGCUGAUGUGAGAGGAUUUCUUGAGCCUGGCAGGCGGAGGUUGUAGUAGUGAGCCAAGAUUGCACCACUGCACUCCAGCCUGGGUGACAGAGUGAGACUCUCUCUC